AGCAUGCAUGCAGAAAGCCAUGCUACAGAGAGAAAAAUUACGACAUCUACCGUAUACCGGUAAUCAUAUCUUAUGUCAGUUUUAAAACAUACAAAAAAAAUAAUAAAAGUGUAUUUUUAACUCAACAAUAUGUUGAACAAAUGAAUUCAUUUCAUUUGCUUGUGGGUGUGCAUGCUCUGCUCUGGGAAUUCUAAUUAAGGAUCCCCCUUUCAUGCAAUGUGUUUACCGAGAGUUAACGAGGAAUGGCACAGCGGGAUGCUAUGGCCAAGACUCAUACAGCCGAUCCUAGUUAUGCAAUUUUUUCGGGAUUUGAUAUGCUGUGUAGGUCAACGUUUUGGAAAACCCAAGCCAUUCUUGUAACACAAAGUCUGAGAGCUGGUGAACAGUCGGGUAAUGAUAAUGACAAAUGAUGUAAUGUCCCUUAUGAAUAUAAAGGGCAAAGAGGGAAGAUGGCAUUUGGCACGACAUCAGUGUUUCAGGCAGUGAUAGCAAGUGCAGUUCAUCAAUUUAAUGCGACGGAACACGAAGUCCGAGAGGCUGUUGCGAAGUACCUUAAAUAUGCAUCAGACCGGAGAGGUGGAGGUGGCCGGGUCGAAAAAUAAUUAAUGGAAUCAAAUGAUAACUUUGAUUUAUAUUUCAGGGCGUCAAGUUUCCUUUAAGUUCCUAUAUUUGGGGGUUAUUCCUAUAAAUUCCUAUAUUUCCACAAAAAUUCCCUAUAUUUUUGUGAAAUUCCUAUAAAUUCCUAUAUUUUAGGGUAAGCGAAAAAUGUUGGAUUCUGGAGCAAAACCAGUACUGUAUAUUACAAACAAUUUGUGUCAUCUAUUUGUAACUAUACAACAUUUACUACAAAAAGGUGCUAUAUUUCUGAGGUUUGUCCUAUAUUUUUUGGACCAAAAUUCACUUGACGCCCUGAUAUUUGAUAGUGUUACUGACUGAAUAUUAUUUCAUGAACAAUGAAUAAAGAAGGAAAAUGACAAGAAUAA
Long non-coding RNA from Ostrea edulis (European flat oyster), 983 nucleotides. RefSeq lists it as uncharacterized. Lineage: Eukaryota; Metazoa; Mollusca; Bivalvia; Ostreida; Ostreidae. The record is from RefSeq and is a predicted model, not a curated record. The transcript has 3 exons.